UGAGGAAUAUUGGUCAAUGGGCGAGAGCCUGAACCAGCCAAGUAGCGUGAAGGAUGAAGGUUCUAUGGAUUGUAAACUUCUUUUAUACGGGAAUAAAACCUCCCACGUGUGGGAGCUUGUAUGUACCGUAUGAAUAAGCAUCGGCUAACUCCGUG
This 155-nucleotide ribosomal RNA is filed under the name uncultured bacterium. RNAcentral describes it as "partial 16S ribosomal RNA". It matches the Rfam family "Bacterial small subunit ribosomal RNA", at positions 355 to 507 of the family's 1533-position model. The record is from RNAcentral.